GUCAAAUUAUUAACUAAGGAGUCAGCUGUGAGCUGGCUUUUUUGUGGAGAAAAGCCCUCUCUUCCUUUUUUUUAUUUUGACACAGGCGCAGGAUGUCAGUAUUAGCGCCUUAAAUAAUAGCCAGUGACCGAUAACCAGCGUUAGAUUUUGUUUUGGUGUAAGGAGGUUCUCGUUUCUAUUUUUUAAUUUCGGUCAAUACCAACCGCACGAGUCGAACGUGCGUGAUACCGUUAUUGGUUAUAUCCAUUCAAUUAGUGGAUUUUCAAUGUGUUCUAUCCCAUCACCAAUCCACUCUUUGACAUUAAAUUCUCGCUCAAUAUCUUGAGUCCUUGGCAUAACGUUAAUAUCACUAAAACUCAGCAUGUCGUCUUUUGUAUUUUGCAAAAAAUAAAUGUUUUUAACUUGUCUUGUUAAAGAGUCGCCAUGCACCACCACACCAUUUAUCCCUCUUAUAGACAUAUUAAAGAGUAGAAACGGUACUGCUUUGUCCGAUAACUCUUCUACGUGAUACCAGUAUUUACUCGGACGAUAAGUAAAUGGACUGUCAUUUAAUCGUUGUUCUUGCCAUGCUUGGAUAAGUAUCCCACCCGUCCCGACUGCUACCUCGUAGUAUUGAUUACCACUUAUUAUUUUAGAUAAUAGUGUACUAACCGAUUUAGGCGUAAAGUCUUGCUUUUUAUUUUUGCGGUCAGCUUGUUCUUCCUCAAAAUAUUGCAUAAACCAGUCGUAAGAUACAUCUGUUUCAUAUUUCAAAAACUGUCUAAAUAUAUCCUCACGACUAUCUUUAUCAAAGAGUAUGUCCGUAAGUCGUUUGGGUGCUUUAUAAACUUCGUCGAUGCCUAGUAUGCGAUGUAUCUCAUCGAUCUUAAUCAUGUUACCCUCCGUUAUUCGUUAAAUCAGCAAUCCGCUUUGUCUGUCUCUGAUUUUGCUCACUCGCACGUUUAAGCUGCUUUUGUGUCCUGCUUAGCUGUGUACGUAGUCCGUAUAUUUGCGGUUCAUAAUAGCUUUUAAGCGAUACGCAAAGCCCUGAUACGACAAUCAGCAUAACUGUUAGUGCAGCGAUAAUGAUGCUUUUCUUUUUGAUUGCUUUGUCUUUUUUUACUAACUCAUAAAGCAAGCAAUCAAUCAUCUGUUCUUCAGUCAUCCGUUUACCCCUUCAUGUAGUACUCGUUUACGCGCUUGCCGCUAGCUAACUCUAGCUGUCUAAUAAACCGCAUCGCUUCGUUUUUAGUAGUAGUCAUGUGUCUCCAAUUCAUCAAGAUAGCCUUGAUUGACAUAGUAUGAGCCAAUCAAAAUAGCGUCUGCUUCGUCGUCUUUGACCGAUUUAUUAAAUUCUUGCUCCACUUUUAUUUUUGACUGUAAUUUCAUGGACUUCUUGCUUCGGUCUUUGUAGCUA
RNAcentral lists this small RNA (1396 nucleotides) under Streptococcus pyogenes. The record is from RNAcentral. Lineage: Bacteria; Bacillati; Bacillota; Bacilli; Lactobacillales; Streptococcaceae.